RNAcentral lists this ribosomal RNA (466 nucleotides) under uncultured bacterium. RNAcentral's name for it is "partial 16S ribosomal RNA". It matches the Rfam family "Bacterial small subunit ribosomal RNA", at positions 28 to 507 of the family's 1533-position model. The record is from RNAcentral.
GACGAACGCUGGCGGUGUGCUUAACACAUGCAAGUCGAACGGUGAGGCCCUUUCGGGGGUACACGAGUGGCGAACGGGUGAGUAACACGUGAGUAACCUGCCCUCAUCUCUGGGAUAACAGUCGGAAACGGUUGCUAAUACUGGAUAUGAGCUUGCAAGGCAUCUUGUGGGUUGGAAAGAUUUUUUUGGUUGGGGAUGGACUCGCGGCCUAUCAGCUUGUUGGUGAGGUAGUGGCUCACCAAGGCUUCGACGGGUAGCCGGCCUGAGAGGGCGACCGGCCACAUUGGGACUGAGAUACGGCCCAAACUCCUACGGGAGGCAGCAGUGGGGAAUAUUGCACAAUGGACGGAAGUCUGAUGCAGCAACGCCGCGUGCGGGAUGACGGCCUUCGGGUUGUAAACCGCUUUCAAUUGUGACGAAGCUUUUUGUGACGGUAGCAGUAGAAGAAGCACCGGCUAACUACGUG